RNAcentral lists this ribosomal RNA (276 nucleotides) under uncultured prokaryote. RNAcentral's name for it is "partial 16S ribosomal RNA". It matches the Rfam family "Bacterial small subunit ribosomal RNA", at positions 524 to 800 of the family's 1533-position model. The record is from RNAcentral.
UACGUAGGGGGCUAGCGUUAUCCGGAUUUACUGGGCGUAAAGGGUGCGUAGGCGGUCUUUCAAGCCAGAAGUGAAGGGCUACGGCUCAACCGUAGUAAGCUUUUGGAACUGUAAGACUUGAGUGCAGGAGAGGAGAGUGGAAUUCCUAGUGUAGCGGUGAAAUGCGUAGAUAUUAGGAGGAACACCAGUAGCGAAGGCGGCUCUCUGGACUGUAACUGACGCUGAGGCACGAAAGCGUGGGGAGCAAACAGGAUUAGAUACCCGCGUAGUCCCUGA